This 485-nucleotide ribosomal RNA is filed under the name uncultured bacterium. RNAcentral describes it as "bacterial SSU rRNA". It matches the Rfam family "Bacterial small subunit ribosomal RNA", at positions 30 to 511 of the family's 1533-position model. The record is from RNAcentral.
AUUGAACGCUGGCGGCAGGCCUAACACAUGCAAGUCGAGCGAGAAAGGCCUUCGGGCUGAGUACAGCGGCGGACGGGUGAGUAACGCGUAGGAAUCUACCUGGUAGUGGGGGACAACAUGGGGAAACUCAUGCUAAUACCGCAUACGCCCUAUGGGGGAAAGCGGGGGACCUUCGGGCCUCGCGCUAUCAGAUGAGCCUGCGUAGGAUUAGCUUGUUGGUGAGGUAAAGGCUCACCAAGGCGACGAUCCUUAGCUGGUCUGAGAGGAUGAUCAGCCACACUGGGACUGAGACACGGCCCAGACUCCUACGGGAGGCAGCAGUGGGGAAUAUUGCGCAAUGGGCGAAAGCCUGACGCAGCCAUGCCGCGUGUGUGAAGAAGGCCUUAGGGUUGUAAAGCACUUUCAAUUGGGAAGAGAGGUUGUACGUUAAUAGCGUGCAGCUGUGACGUUACCUUUAGAAGAAGCACCGGCUAACUCCGUGCCAG